GGAAAAGAAUGCAAGGCCCACUGUGGAUCUUGUCUACCUGGAUUUCAGUAAAGCCUUUGGUACAUGUCCCAUGGCAUUCUCCUGGAGAAGUUGGGACCCCAUGGCAUGGACAGGAGGAAAACCAAAACAAACCAUGAAAACAAACUAUUAAAAGUCGUAACGGAAGCCAGAAGGAAUUCCACAUUGUUCUUAAGACCAUUUUGGCUAUAAACGGCAUCAUCACACAGAGCUGUUGCAUCUACUUUUCCCCUCUAUAACCUGGAGCAGAAUAUACAAAAUUUCACUUUGGAAGCAGACAGAGAGAUGCUGGAAGAGGAAAUGCCUAGUUCAAGGUUAGUGUAAUCUCACUAGUUUGGGCAUGAGUGAGAGUGAAAUAUUCACUCCCUGAACUGAAACGUCCAUCAAACUGUCGUAUGAAAGCAAUCUGAACCUACCUGUCAAGAAGAACAGAAAAAUUAUCAGGAUGACAGGGUUGUCUCCUGGUGUCAGUCAUUGAGUGGCUGUAAAGAUACUGGCUUACUACAAGAAGUAGAAAUAAAGCUGAGAAAACAGCCUAGCACAGCCACCUCCCUCACAAUUUCAUUGCUCAUGUAUCUUUACUUUGGUAGGGAUUCUCUUCAUUAAAUUUCCCAGCCCUCUCUAAUGAAAGAAAUAGUUUUAUGCACAGGAGAAUUAAAAAAACUUGGUUGUUUAACCCCGUUUGUGGGUUGUAAGACUUUCACUUCAGUGGAGGAACCACCUGUGAACUUUCCAUCUUCCUCCUAUCCUACACAACUGCUUAGUUAAUGAAAUGGAGGAUCAUUUAGACUUAACUCCUAUGAAAUUGAGGUAAGGCCAGACAAGAAGUUCAAAAGUCCUCUGGGGAUGAGUGACAUGGAGACAACAGGAUCAAAUAACCCUAUGCAGCAGUGUAUGCACAUCUGCACAAUUUUUUCUUGUUGAUCCAUCCUGGAUAAGGAGGUUAAAAUAGGGGAACACAUGAAGGACAACACCUGAAUCUUUUUAUUCUUUCAUGACAGCAAAGCAUGACAUAUCUGAUGAAAAUAUUAUUCAGCCAACAAUAAUACACAUGGCAAAAUGCUGUCAGACACAAUAAGGAAAUAUUAAAAAAUGCAACUUCCAAAUUAUCUUAAUUUUUCAAGGAAAAAGCCACUUUCUACAAUAAUAACCUCAAGUGAGACAUGCUAGGAGAUGGCAACAUAAACUUCAGGAUUAUCACGCCUCUGAUGUUCCCUGUUCAUAUCCAGUUGAGGACUCAGUGGUUCCAGUACCAUUAUAACAUUUUUUCCUCAUCUUUCAAGUGUUCUUCCUUUUUCUUUUAAUAGUUUCCAGAAACCAGGGAUAUUCUGACAUGCUAAGGUGACAGAAUGCUAUAGGUAACCUUGUUCAGCAGCAGAAUCCUUAAGGUCUAUCAACUUUUAAAUAUGUGUUCUUUCUUAACAGGAAACAGAUUCCAAACUAAGAGUUAGAUAACAUGUUAAGGUGUUAACUUCUUUUCCAUCCUGCAUUCUCUUCUGAGACCUAUUCUCACCAUGGACCUACGUUUGAAACUUGUGUGCAAAGCUGAGCUCAAGACCUGUGCUGCAAGACUUUUUCCAUGAUGUGUUGUGACAGAUGAAGAAUAAAAUCACCUUACUUUAAAACUAUAGUUCUGGAACCCUGUGCUCAUGCAACUUCACCUGCAAGGCAAAUCAAACAGUUUCAAAUUUGUUUUAGGAGUAGUUGGAUCAUUCAAACACAAAGCAGAAUGACUGAGAGAAAAUACUAUCACUUAUCUGGCCAACUUGAAGUUUUAAUGCAUCCCCACAAGCCCUGAUGGCAGUAAUUGUACUGAAUCCCCAGUAAAUGUAUUGAACAUCACGCAGUGGUCUUUAGGAAUGCAAGGAGCAGGCCUCAGAAGGAUGGAAAUAAGGUCUCUUGAGCGCUGGCCUAUCUCAUGCCCAAAACAAAUUUGGAGAGAUCUCCUGCUCAAUCUUUCUCAGAGGUCAACAACUUUAAAACCAAGUACACUUUCCAACUAAAAUCCUUCAUAUCCAGAGUUUUAAAAAUAUAUAUUAUGUUUAGAUUUCCUCUUAUUUCACAAUACUGAGGUGAUAUUAACACUUGAGUCUGUAGGUGACAAGUGUGGAAAGCACUGCAGUCGUCUCACGUAACACUUACAUUAUCAUAUACAUACAUAUAUCUGUAUUUUUAACCUUUAAGACUGAAACAAUUUAUCAUACACACUCCGAUUUUUUUUUUUAGCCUUCAAAAUAAGGAUUACAAAUAAAUCUUUGCUGAAGUUCUAGCAAACACUACUUGGAGCAUCAGUGAAACCUGCUGAAAUGUAGGACUGCACUCAUGCCACUCUGCAAUGCUAAUUUAGUCACCCAAUUGCCUAUUAACCCAUAGUUGAGCAACUCCAGAGUAGGGAACAUUUCAUGUAUAACAUGACUGCCCCCUUGUGCCGAACUAGAUCCCUUGCAUUAGAAGUAUGAUUUCUCAUGUCUUAAUAUGAAAAAACCCACUAAAGCAAGUAAUUAAGCUAGCUUCUUAAGCAUCAAAAUAGAGCUAUACAGUUCUUGUAACUGUAUGGAAAAAAAAGUAAGCUAGGGAUGAUAGAAAGCAGUUUGGAAAACAGCACUGCACAUCACCAAAGUGAGAGGAUGUUAAAUCACCUUCAUAUUUAUUAACAAUAUAA
This is a long non-coding RNA of Passer domesticus (house sparrow), 2680 nucleotides long. RefSeq lists it as uncharacterized. NCBI's taxonomy places the organism in Eukaryota, Metazoa, Chordata, Aves, Passeriformes, Passeridae. The record is from RefSeq and is a predicted model, not a curated record. The transcript has 3 exons.